CUGAAAAUGUCUAGAUGGGCAUUAUUGCCCCAUCAACA
RNAcentral lists this transfer RNA (38 nucleotides) under Stenella longirostris (spinner dolphin). RNAcentral's name for it is "partial tRNA-Phe". The record is from RNAcentral. Lineage: Eukaryota; Metazoa; Chordata; Mammalia; Artiodactyla; Delphinidae.